This is a long non-coding RNA of Podarcis raffonei (Aeolian wall lizard), 601 nucleotides long. RefSeq lists it as uncharacterized. The record is from RefSeq and is a predicted model, not a curated record. The transcript is spliced from 2 exons. Lineage: Eukaryota; Metazoa; Chordata; Lepidosauria; Squamata; Lacertidae.
GGAAGCUGCCUUAUACCGAGUCGGACCUUCAGUUGAUCUAGCUAACUAUCAUCUGCACCACACCAGCCUGUGGCCUUCCAAAUGGUGCUGGACUGCAGUUCCUGUGACUUUAUUAAUUAAUGCCACACCAUGUGCGAUCACAGAUUCACUGCAAUGGACUUCCACUAGACCAGAAGGCACGUUGGCACAUGCUAACCAGCCCCAGAAAAGACCACUGCAGCAGCUGAGAGGAAAUAUUGGUCCUAGCUUACUUGCUCCUGUCCUGCAGCAGCUAUAGCUGAUUAUCCCAAGUUGACUAGCUAAUUGCACCUCUGCAAUAAACCAGUGUCCUAGAGAAGAGCAUCAAGGUCUUCUAUUCUUCCCUCAGACCCUGUUCAUAAUAGUAGCAUAGCAUUAAACGAAAGCAAAGGAGAGAACAGUUAAAAAUCAAUAAGUGAGGAGAGAAAAAGAAUGCACUGUGAACUCUCCAGGAUUAGAGAAUUAAAUGGUGGAAUUCCUGAAAGAAUGACAUCCUAGAGGCCAAUUUUUAUAAGAGCUUGGACACUUAAGUGAAUAACGAGAAUAUCCAGAAAGACUUAAUAAACAACUAUCCUCUACUGUC